GUGAGGGAGUGGAGGGUGGAGGAGAGCGAGAAAUAAUUGAUUUAAUGGUUAGCUCACUCAAAUUACAUAUUAAUUAAUUCUACUGUAGUAGUACAUUUUCAGCUCAUAUACAAAACAUCACUAAAAACCAGGCAUGCUUGCAAGUUGGGUAAACCUGCCCAUCAGGAGUUGGGCAAAACAAAACGGGUGGAUGGUGGUGCAAAUAAUCACAUUCAUCAAAGCAUAAGACAUCAGGAAAAGGUAAGUGGGUCAAACAAAAUGCACAGGAGGUGAGAUGUGGGUUGUAUCCACAAGAGGGCAAUAAAGGAUCAUACACUGACAAUACGGCACAACAACCUCUGGUGUGCUUUUCUAGUGGUUUCCAAAAUGAACCACAGAGAUCAAAGUUUCAGUGAGAUCAAGAUUAAUGUCAACAUUAUUUCAUGAGGUUCUCUCCACAGAUAUAUCUUCCCGUAUGUAGUAUGAACAGCUGCCUGUCUACCAAACUGUAUGUGGAGGAAAAUAACCCAUGAACCUCACUGACAAACUACUCUUUAAGUAAGGCUUGUGGAUUACUUUGCAUGUUUCGUUUAUUUGUUUCCUUUAAAUAGGAAGCUACAGCCGUAGACGGUUAGCUUAGCUUUGCAUAAAGACUGGAAACAGGGGAAAACAGCUAGCCUGGCUCUGCCCAAAAGGUGCAGGAUGGCCAGGAUGAUGGCCACGAGGAAGAUGACAAUGCAGCAGACGCUCACACUUAUAUAGAACACCUGGGUGGAGGUGGUGGGGGUCGUCUCACCAUCUACUGAUGAAAACAAGCCACACAUAAACAAUCAGACACAGCAAAGGAGAAACUCUGGAAAAUGGUGCAUCACUGCACACAAACUAACACCCUCAUUACAGAAAGCUUCAACAGCAUUUGCUAUUAUGAAAGAAUCAGAGCAAAAAUAUGAGGUAAGGCAAUGAGAUAAACACGAGUGAAAGGGGGUGAAACUAUAAGAACUCCACUUAGGGUUAAUGGAGUCCUUGAAUAGCAGAGGCUGUGCCCAGGAUCCAGUGUCUGAGAGCUUUUCUCAUCACCUCUCUAAAAGCCUUUGAGGGCCCCAGGUUCCUCGGGCCUACCCAAGCAGAAGGGAGACAACCCACUAAUGGAACUUUGUUACUGGGGCAGUGGGCUCACAAAGAGUCUGAAUAAAUCCCAUUGGAAGAGGACAACCACUCCAAGGGGUGGGGGCAGAGUGCACUUUAAUUGGAGAAUGAAUCCUUCUCUUUGGGCUCUGAAAUCAUACGUCUUGGUUAUGGAAGGUUUGACUAAUGUGCACUGCUAUACAGAGAACUUCUGUCUUGUCAGAAUGAUGCCACCUAUGAUAGACAAUACAUAGAGCUGACAGACAGGGAUAAGUAGAGCAGGAUGUGGAGGUGAGAUUACUUACAGUCAGGCCGUGGAAGAGUGUUAUUGUUCAGGGGAAGCUUCGGGUCAGAAUCUAUUCCUGUUCACAAAGGAAGAAGGAGAGAGAAUUAUGUCAAUUGAAUGGCAUACUUCAUUCACACAGCUACGAUAUUCAGUGCAGUAUGUAAUGCUGAAAGGAAAAACAAAGCUCCUGUAUUUAAUGAAACUAAAAAUGCACUUGACAAAAGGUUGAAAUAAGUUUUCACUGUCUGAUCACACAGACCCAGGAAAUAAAGAAACGUGUAUUUCCACCAUAUCUCACGAACUCCAAAGAUAAAGCAAAGCAGACCGAUGCCACAUUAAAAGGCAACAGCUGAGUGUGGGAUGUCAUUUUUGCAUACAACAUGACAACAACUCAGUAAAUGUGGUUGUUGGAUAAAGUCAAAAUGUAAUUUAAAAAGAUGUGUGUCUGUGACGUGAAGUCUUAAAGGAAAUUAAAACCACAGCGGGGAAUGCUGGCGGGCACCUGAAUGGGCACAAGAACCCGAGCCGGGCAGCAAACACAGCUGGACCGGGCCAGUUUGACGACAGGGAAUACAGUACGAGGUGAUUUACAGCGGCUCUGAGCAGGACUCCGGGGAAGACAGGGACAUGGCGGGUUCAGGCGGGGAGAGGAGAGGCGUAAGCGGGAGAGGAGCGAGGUCGGGCAUCAGAGGCAGCGUCAGCGUGCAGAGCCAGAAUAUCCGUUACAACUAACGCGGUGGAUUAAGGAUUUAUUUUGACCAAACCAGAGUUGGUGAUUGUUGGAACAGUGGAAAGACUAACCAAGACGGUUUUAGUGAGUUUUAUUUUCUGAAUAGAGUGUGUUUUAUGAUGAGUUAACAAGGCAUUUCAGCUCGUAAUAGAGAGAAAUGUGAAUUCAGAAGGUGUACGGUUGUAUUUUUCGGUUUAUUAAGGCAAAUAGAUGUACAAAUAUUUAAUUUCUUGACAUUUUGUGAGUUUAUUUUGUUUAUUUAUUAGACUAAAAAAAAGCUAAGAGCGCUUGUGUAAGGUAGCGAACUCCCUGCUCGCACACAUCUCCCAGCUGAAACUAUGGGAGGGAGGCCUGAG
Long non-coding RNA from Siniperca chuatsi (mandarin fish), 2476 nucleotides. RefSeq lists it as uncharacterized. Lineage: Eukaryota; Metazoa; Chordata; Actinopteri; Centrarchiformes; Sinipercidae. The record is from RefSeq and is a predicted model, not a curated record. The transcript is spliced from 2 exons.